CUCCUACGGGAGGCAGCAGUGGGGAAUCUUAGACAAUGGGCGCAAGCCUGAUCUAGCCAUGCCGCGUGAGCGAUGAAGGCCUUAGGGUUGUAAAGCUCUUUCAGUGGGGAAGAUAAUGAUGGUACCCACAGAAGAAGCCCCGGCUAACUCCGUGCCAGCAGCCGCGGUAAUACGGAGGGGGCUAGCGUUGUUCGGAAUUACUGGGCGUAAAGCGCACGUAGGCGGAUCAGAAAGUCAGAGGUGAAAUCCCAGGGCUCAACCUUGGAACUGCCUUUGAAACUCCUGAUCUUGAGGUCGAGAGAGGUGAGUGGAAUUCCGAGUGUAGAGGUGAAAUUCGUAGAUAUUCGGAGGAACACCAGUGGCGAAGGCGGCUCACUGGCUCGAUACUGACGCUGAGGUGCGAAAGCGUGGGAGCAAACAGGAUUAGAUACCCUGGUAGUCCACGCCCUAAACGAUGAAUGCCAGACGUCGGGCAGCAUGCUGUUCGGUGUCACACCUAACGGAUUAAGC
This 510-nucleotide ribosomal RNA is filed under the name uncultured bacterium. RNAcentral's name for it is "bacterial SSU rRNA". It matches the Rfam family "Bacterial small subunit ribosomal RNA", at positions 336 to 865 of the family's 1533-position model. The record is from RNAcentral.